ACGGGAGGCAGCAGUGGGGAAUAUUGGGCAAUGGGCGAAAGCCUGACCCAGCAACGCCGCGUGAAGGAAGAAGGUCUUCGGAUUGUAAACUUCUUUUAUCAGGGACGAAGGAAGUGACGGUACCUGAUGAAUAAGCCACGGCUAACUACGUGCCAGCAGCCGCGGUAAUACGUAGGUGGCAAGCGUUAUCCGGAUUUACUG
Molecule: ribosomal RNA, 201 nt
Filed under: uncultured bacterium
Lineage: Bacteria
Description: partial 16S ribosomal RNA
Rfam family: Bacterial small subunit ribosomal RNA
Source: RNAcentral